This 31-nucleotide non-coding RNA is filed under the name Homo sapiens (human). Lineage: Eukaryota; Metazoa; Chordata; Mammalia; Primates; Hominidae. The record is from RNAcentral.
UGGUUGGUGGGGAAACCUCGUCACGGGUCCC